This is a non-coding RNA of Pelobates cultripes (western spadefoot toad), 214 nucleotides long. Lineage: Eukaryota; Metazoa; Chordata; Amphibia; Anura; Pelobatidae. The record is from the annotation of a GenBank genome assembly.
CCUGGCCCUGUUUGAGUAAAAAAUAAAUUCUACCUUUGAUACUGUUAAAAACUCUGUUUUUUCAAACCUUCAAACCCUCCACAACCUCUGUGGCACUGUACCCUUGUGGUUUUAAUCGGGUUUUAUCUGCUUCUCUUGAUAAUCUGGUUAGCUCCUUUGGAUUUCAUUACCUUCUACAUUAUGACAAUACUCAGCUUUUACUCUCCCUCCUUUC